GACGAACGCUGGCGACGCGCUUAACACAUGCAAGUCGAACGGAAAGGCCUGCUUUCCCUUGUGGAUUGCGGGUACUCGAGUGGCGAACGGGUGAGUAACACGUGAGUGAUCUGCCCCCAACUUGGGUAUAAGCCUGGGAAACUGGGUCUAAUUCCCGAUAGGACUGCAGGGUGGUGCCUGUGGUGGAAAACGAUUUUCUAGUGGUUGGGGAUGAGCUCGCGGCCUAUCAGCUUGUUGGUGGGGUAAUGGCCUACCAAGGCGGCGACGGGUAGCCGGCCUGGGAGGGUGGACGGGCACAGUGGGACGGAGAUACGGCCCAGACUCCUACGGGAGGCAGCAGUGGGGAAUAUGGCACAAUGGGCGGAAGCCUGAUGCAGCGACGCCGCGUGGGGGAUGACGGCCGUCGGGUUGUAAACUCCUUUCGACCGCGAGGAAGCCACCUGGUUGGAAGGGUGGUGACGGUAGUGGUAGAAGAAGCACCGGCUAACUACGUG
This 494-nucleotide ribosomal RNA is filed under the name uncultured bacterium. RNAcentral's name for it is "partial 16S ribosomal RNA". It matches the Rfam family "Bacterial small subunit ribosomal RNA", at positions 28 to 507 of the family's 1533-position model. The record is from RNAcentral.